RNAcentral lists this long non-coding RNA (4465 nucleotides) under Salmo salar (Atlantic salmon). Its description in RNAcentral is "lncRNA (ENSSSAG00000102329.1)". The record is from RNAcentral. Lineage: Eukaryota; Metazoa; Chordata; Actinopteri; Salmoniformes; Salmonidae.
GAGGGUUAACAGUCAGUCCUCUACUCUAUAUUCACCAUGCUCUAGUCUAGACUACUGGAGGAGGGUUAACAGACAGUCCUCUACUCUAUAUUCACCAUGCUCUAGUCUAGUCUAGACUACUGGAGGAGGGUUAACAGUCAGUCCUCUACUCUAUAUUCACCAUGCUCUAGUCUAGACUACUGGAGGAGGGUUAACAGACAGUCAGUCCUCUGCUCUAUAUUCACCAUGCUCUAGUCUAGUCUACUGGAGGAGGGUUAACAGUCAGUCCUCUACUCUAUAUUCACCAUGCUCUAGUCUAGACUACUGGAGGAGGGUUAACAGUCAGUCCUCUACUCUAUAUUCACCAUGCUCUAGUCUAGUCUAGACUACUGGAGGGUUAACAGCCAGUCCUCUACUCUAUAUUCACCAUGCUCUAGUCUAGACUACUGGAGGAGGGUUAACAGACAUCAGUCCUCUACUCUAUAUUCACCAUGCUCUAGUCUAGUCUACUGGAGGAGGGUUAACAGACAGUCAGUCCUCUACUCUAUAUUCACCAUGCUCUAGUCUAGACUACUGGAGGAGGGUUAACAGUCAGUCCUCUACUCUAUAUUCACCAUGCUCUAGUCUAGUCUAGACUACUGGAGGGUUAACAGUCAGUCCUCUACUCUAUAUUCACCAUGCUCUAGUCUAGUCUACUGGAGGAGGGUUAACAGACAGUCCUCUGCUCUAUAUUCACCAUGCUCUAGUCUAGACUACUGGAGGAGGGUUAACAGCCAGUCAGUCCUCUACUCUAUAUUCACCAUGCUCUAGUCUAGACUACUGGAGGAGUGUUACUAGACAAAUUGGACACGUCAGCUGGCUAGUGGAUUGGGUAACGUCAUUCUAUCCCACAUUCCAUUUCAGCUGAGCCAUGAACAGAACUGUAAAUUACUACUAAUUUAUAGCUACGUAAACCUACAUGCUACCCACCAACAUAUCUGAAACGUAUAAAAUGUAAACUACCCUACAAUAAACUGUUAACUUUGGAAAGUUUUAUCCAAUCUACCUAUUGUUAAAUGUGUUUUUGCUUUGGAGAGGAGAGAGUUCUCUGAAUGUUCUAUUCAAAUGUUACGGUAAACAUUCUCCACUUUUUGAUGUGUCAGGGUUCUGUUCUCUUGAUGUAGUUCUGUUCUCUUGACGUGUCAGGGUUCUGUUCUCUUGAUGUGUCAGGGUUCUGUUCUCUUGAUGUGUCAGGGUUCUGUUCUCUUGAUGUGUCAGGGUUCUCUUGAUGUAGUUCUGUUCUCUUGAUGUGUCAGGGUUCUCCUCUCUUGAAGAUUGAUGUUGGAGACGACAACUAAAGCCAAAUCCCAAGUAUUUUUUAAUUUUUUUAAUUUUUUUGUUACAUUUUCAACAAUACUACGAUGUAAAAUCAAUCAAAAUGUUUCUCUUCUGUUGACAUUUGUGAGCACCUGUUUCUCCUCGUCUGGUAUAUAGCUGCCUAAAUCCCAUUGUUUUAUUCCAUUGAGGACUACCCCCCACAGUGGGCCGCAAGUGUUUUAUGUUCACGUCAACUCUAGUGUUAUUGUGUUUCCAGCACUGGGGUAAAUCCUCAUUGGCAAUGCGACACUAAUGUGUUUAUGUAUUAUAGACUCACCUCUUUGGUGUAAGUAAUUGUGUGUAUAUAGAUAGUGCAGUUACUUAGAUAAUACUAUACAUACUGCAACAUACAAGUGUCUUCAGAAAAAAAUUCAUACCCCUUGACUUAUUCCACAUUUUGUUUUACAGUCUGAAUUCAAAAUGGAUUAAAUAUUGAUUUUAAUAAUAUUGAUUAAAUAUUCACCAAUCGACACACCUCAUAAUGACAAAUUGAAAACGUGUUUUUUUUAAAUGUUUGCAAAUACUGACUAGAAUACUUUGUAGAAACAAUGAUUACACCUGUGAGUCUUUCUGGGUAAUUCUCUAAGAGCUUUGCACACCUGGAUUGUACAAUAUUUGCCCAUUUAUUCUUUUUACAAUUUUUCAAGCUCAAGUUGAUUGUUGAUCAUUGUUAGACAAUAAUGUUGAGGUCUUGCCAUGGAUUUUCAAGCUGAUUUAAGUCAAAACUGUAAAUAGGCCACUCGGGGACAUUCAAUGUCAUCUUGGUAAGCAACUCCAGUGUAGAUUUAGCCUUGUGUUUUAGGUUAUUGUCCUGCUGAAAGGUGAAUUCAUUUCCCCAGUGUCUAUUGAAACACAGACUGAACCAGGUUUUCCUCUAUACCGUUUAUUUUUAUCCUAAAAACUCCCUAGUCCUUACCAAUGACAAGCAUACCCAUAACAUGAUGCAGCCACCGCCAUGCUUGAAAAUAUGAAGUGGUACUGAGUGAUGUGUUGUGUUGGAUUUGCCCCAAACAAAACACUUUGUAUUCAGGACAAAAAGUGAAUUUCUUUGCCAUAAUGUUUUCAGUAUUACUUAUAACUGUUUUAAAUUCACCAAUGGCCUCAUGGUGAAAACCCUGAGCGGUUUCCUUCCUCUCCGGCAACUGAGUUAGGAAGGACGCCUGUAUCUUUGUAGUGACUGGGUGUAUUGAUACACCAUCCAAAGCCUAAUUAUAACUUCACCUUGCUCAAAGGGAUAUUAAACAUUUUACCCAUCUACCAAUCGGUGCCCUUCUUUGCGAGGCAUUGGAAAACCUCCCUGGUCUUUGUGGUUGAAUCUGUGUUUGAAAUUCCCUGCUGGACUGAGGGACCUUCCAGAUAAUUGUAUGUGUGGGGUACAGAGACGAGGUAGUCAUUCAAACAUAAUGUUAAACACUGUUAUUGAACACGGGAUGAGUCCAUGCAACUUAUUAUGCCAUUUGUUAAGGAGAUAUUUACUCUUAAACUUAUUUAUGCUUGCCAUAAAGGGGUUAUAUACUUGUUUACUUAUUCAAGAUAUUUCAGUUUAAAAUGUUUUAUUAAUUUACAAAAAAAAUCUACUUACAAAAUUCCACUUUGACAUUAUGGGAUAUUGUGUGUAGAUCUCAAUUUAAUAAAUGUUCAUUUUAAAUUCAGGCUGUAAACCAUUUUUAAAUUCAGGCUGUAAACCAUUUUUAAAUUCAGGCUGUAAACCAUUUUUAAAUUCAGGCUGUAAACCAUUUUUAAAUUCAGGCUGUAAACCAUUUUUAAAUUCAGGCUGUAAACCAUUUUAAAUUCAAGCUGUAAGAACACAAUGUGGAAGAGAAGGGUGUGAAGACUUUCUGAAAGCCACUGUACAUACAACCAUUGCUAUGGGACCAAGAACAUUGCUGCAGUACUGUGAUGUUUUUUUUUAGCACAGUUAUUUAUACUGUAUCACUGUAUAUAUAUAUAUAUAUAUAUAUAUAUAUAUAUAUAUACGCCACUCAGAAAGCAUGCAGGAUAUUAUUAAGUUUGUUACGGUAAGAUCAUAAAUGAACCGUAUGAAAUAAAGAUGAGAGGAAUAUUAAACAGGGAUUUUACUACUGAGGAAGUAAUGUGGUUGUAUGACUAAUUUGGACAAGGACUGCCUAGAUAUAUACAUUAUUCGUCACUGACUCCGUCCAAUCUUCAUCCCAUAUUAAGUAUGGUAUUAUGGAUCCUCCCUUUUUCUACCCUACUCAGUGAUAUUCUGAUAUAACAAUGUCAUAUUUAAGUCAGGAACUAUUGACUGACGCAGACUGACUAUCCUAAGGCUUUGUGAACUUUUGAGUGCUGUACUUUUUAAUAUGCAUAAAAAAUAAAAAAAAGGUUACUUUACAAUACAUUACACUACUGUAUCCAUCACUAAAAUCCAUUCACAUCUUAACAACGACAACAAGUGAAAAGAAAAAUGACUUGAAACGGGAUUGAAGAGCGGGUCCAGGGUGUUUGUCGAAUGUGUUGUUGUGGUUUUAGUGAACUGUUUGUCAAAUGGCAUCCUACUCCUCAUACUGUAUAGUGCACUACUUUUGACCAGGGCCCAUAGAACUCAGGGCCCAUAGAGCUCAGGGCCCAAAGAACUCAGGGCCCAUAGAACUCAGGGCCCAUAGAGCUCAGGGCCCAUAGAACUCAGGGCCCAUAGAGCUCAGGGCCCAUAGAGCUCAGGGCCCAUAGAACUCAGGGCCCAUAGAACUCAGGGCCCAUAGAGCUCAGGGCCCAUAGAGCUCAGGGCCCAUAGAGCUCAGGGCCCAUAGAACUCAGGGCCCAUAGAGCUCAGGGCCCAUAGAGCUCAGGGCCCAUAGAGCUCAGGGCCCAUAGAGCUCAGGGCCCAUAGAGCUUAGGGCCAUAGGGGUUAGGGCCCAUAGGGGUUAGGGCCCAUAGAGCUCAGGGCCCAUAGAGCUCAGGGCCCAUAGGGUUCAGGUCAAAAGUAGUGCACUACAUGGGGAAUAAGUAUGGUGCCAUUUGGGGGACACAAUUCAUGUUGAAGUAGAUGGUUUCCUUCAGAGCUCUGGCCCUGUAUCUCUGCUUAGCCCUAAAAGCGACUCUGUUUUCUAUUGAAGUUUGUAAAAUAAGCGCUUUGAAAUAAAAGAACAAAUGAUAUCUCAUACUCUAG